AACGAACGCUGGCGGCAUGCCUAACACAUGCAAGUCGAACGAGACCUUCGGGUCUAGUGGCGCACUGGUCCGUAACGCGUGGGAACCUGCCCUUAGGUUCGGAAGAACUCCCCGAAAGGGGUGCUAAUACCGGAUAAUGUCUUCCGACCAAAGAUUUAUCGCCUUUGGAUGGGCCCGCGUUGGAUUAGCUAGAUGGUAGGGUAAAAGCCUACCAAGGCGACGAUCCAUAGCUGGUCUGAGAGGAUGAUCAGCCACACUGGGACUGAGACACGGCCCAGACUCCUACGGGAGGCAGCAGUGGGGAAUAUUGGAAAAUGGGCGAAAGCAUGAUCCAGCAAUGACGCGUGAGUGAUGAAGGCCUUAGGGUUGUAAAGCUAUUUUACCCGGGAUGAUAAUGACAGUACCGGGAGAAUAAGCUCCGGCUAACUCCGUG
This 433-nucleotide ribosomal RNA is filed under the name uncultured bacterium. RNAcentral describes it as "partial 16S ribosomal RNA". It matches the Rfam family "Bacterial small subunit ribosomal RNA", at positions 29 to 507 of the family's 1533-position model. The record is from RNAcentral.